UACGAAGGGGGCUAGCGUUGUUCGGAAUUACUGGGCGUAAAGCGCACGUAGGCGGUUUUCCAAGUUGGAGGUGAAAUCCCUGGGCUUAACCCAGGAACUGCCCCCAAAACUGGAUGACUCGAGUCCGAGGGAGGUGAGUGGAAUUUCCAGUGUAGAGGUGAAAUUCGUAGAUAUUGGAAAGAACACCAGUGGCGAAGGCGGCUCACUGGCUCGGUACUGACGCUGAGGUGCGACAGCGUGGGGAGCAAACAGG
Molecule: ribosomal RNA, 253 nt
Filed under: uncultured bacterium
Lineage: Bacteria
Description: partial 16S ribosomal RNA
Rfam family: Bacterial small subunit ribosomal RNA
Source: RNAcentral